Molecule: RNA transcript, 3136 nt
Organism: Gorilla gorilla gorilla (western lowland gorilla)
Lineage: Eukaryota; Metazoa; Chordata; Mammalia; Primates; Hominidae
Gene: TP53AIP1
Gene name: tumor protein p53 regulated apoptosis inducing protein 1
Exons: 4
Source: RefSeq, a predicted model, not a curated record
CUCUGCUCAGACCUGCACCCAGUCAGAGCAGCACAGAUGUGCAGGAGGAGACCAUUUCCACGGGCCCUCCGACUCCUAGGAGGCAGGUGCAUCCGCUGCAUGGCUGCUGGCCUGUUGCCCGACAAAAUGCCCAGCAUUGAACCAGAUGCAUAGACGUGAACCCUGGAGAAUCCUGUUUUCAGUGGCUGGAAGAGGGAGGUGUAGGCACCAGCUCAAACUCUUCACCUCCCGCCUUCUAUCCUGCAGACCCCGGCGGGCCACAUGGUGACCUUCUAUGUCCAUCUGGGACAGCAGUCAGCUGCCCCUGCCUCUGUGGGGAGUGAGCAAUGGGCCGCAGGAUCACUUGUCCUGGGCGGCUCUUCUGGGGGUAGCUUUGCCUUGCCGCUGGGUUUUGGGAGUCCGGGGCCUGUGGUCUCCUGGGGGCUGCGUGCAGUGUCUUCCCCAGAACCAGAUGGGGAAGGGAGCCGCAGGGAAAGAACGUGACCUUUGGGCUCAAUCCUGGUAUUGAAGCCCUGUUCGUUCUUUUACAUUUUCUUAACAUGCAGCAUUGGGUAAAUGCCUUCUGAGUUUGGUUAGUGCUUGUUAAAUUGGGCGAGAACUUCAUAAGGUUGCAGGAAGUAUUCCGAGAAAUGGUACACGCACAGUACUUAGUGUGGUCACCGCACAUGGCCAGCAUAUACCAAACUGGUCCGAAUUGACUAGAAUGGGGAGGGUGGGAAGUGACAAUCUCUACGUUCUUUUUAAUCUGAGGUGUCUGAUGCUACUUGCUGGGCUUCUGGCCUGUGAUGAGUGCUCCCACUCCCUGCUGCCCUGAGACCUGUGUGGCUUUCAGGGUAUUCUUUUUUCUCAGUGCCUUUGUGUGGAGAGCCGCUGUCUCCCUCCAUUCUGUGGGUGAUACAGGUGGCGCUGCUGUGAGCUGCCUCUGGAGGUCAUGGACAGGCUGUUAAGGAUGGGGCCUGCCAUACCAGAGCUCCCGCCGCCCUGGGGAAGCGAUGUGGGCAGUAGCUCAGAAUGCAGCUCCUCCCCAGAGCCUCGGCCACCGGGGACUUGCAGGAGAAAGAACAGGGACGGGGAAGACUGGAUGGUCCUGAAAGCUGAGAGGGGCCACAGAAGCCCAGAUGACACAGGACUAUGGGAGACAAGUGAGGGCACCAGCUUCCCUGGGUUGAGGGACCGUGAUACCCAGGAGGGCAGAGAGGGAGACAGGGCCCGGCUGGCAACCUCUGAGCAGGUGAGCGGGAGAGAGAGCAGGACAGAGAAGGCAGCUCUGUGUUCUGCUCUGAUCCGUCUGACUCCACACGGAUGUGGAGUUCUCUGAGACUCCUUUCCCUGAAUCUGAGAGCUUACUAACAGAAGGCCGGGCCUCUGAGAUAGAGAUCAGGCAUGUAAUGAAUGAAUGUGAAUCAUGAAUACAGCUGGAGCACCCCUCAUCAGGGUAGCCCACACCUUACAACUGUGGACACAGAGGCCUUGUUGCUUCCCCAAAAGUCUAGUUAAUGACUAGUUAAUGGCUAGUUAAUAUCUAAUUAAUGACCAGUUAACGACAAUGCUCCUAACUCCAUCAUCCCACCCCCUUUCCCCAAAUUCAGCACAAAUGGCUUCAGUUUGAGUUUCCCAAAGCAUCUCCUAAGGUGUGUGGUUACAGCCCAGCCCUAGGGUCUCUGGGUGCAUCGGCCUCCCCCUCCCAGAUCCAAGUACAGCUGAAACCCUGACAAUAGAAAUCAUCAUUGCUGGCCCAGCGCUGCCACCACUGCUCCUGUUCGUAGCCUGUUUUGUUUGUUUUUAGUCCCUUAGGCACUGGCCCUAACAACAAAUGAGGAGAAGCCAAGCUCUCUGCUUUCUGCAGACAGGGCCUCCCCUGGAUGGGGUCUUCCCCUAAGGUGAGCUUCAGAUCUGCUCAAGCUUCCUGCAGUGGGGCCAGGAGGCAGGGCCUGGGCAGGGGAGACCAGAACCUCUCGGUGAUGCCUCCGAAUGGCAGGGCUCAGACACACACACCGGGCUGGGUAAGUCCCUGCAGUGAAAACCGAGACGGUCUUUUGCCUGCCACAGCCCCGGGCCGACUCUGCUCUCACCGUGGUGCCGACAUCCCAAGUUUUCAGACUCACCAGGACCCAGUGACAGCAUCUGGGUCCUCAGAGCUGCAUGCGGACUGUCCCCAGUUCAGAGCAUUGGACAGAGCUGGGAACUGACAGCCCUGAUCACUAGUCCCAAGAGAAAGGCCAGCCCUCCUCCUCCUCGGAAUCCUGGGUUUCUAGGAGGCAGAAAGGUUUUCUGAGAAACAAGGCUUUGGAAGGAAGGUGGUGCCUGGCUGCAUCCAGAAAGGGAGAGCUAAAUGGAGAGGCUGAACAAAGGACGCAUGUGGAACGCAUGGGGAGGGGAGGCUGGGGCGCAGGGCUCCGGGUCUGCUCUUCUGCGUCCACCCCGGAUCCUGCUUUUGUCCAGAUGGGCCUCGGAGCAGCAGUCACUUACUCCAAGAAGUCAUUUCCUGUGGCCAAUAAUGAAGAUGACGUACUCGGAAGCUUGUGGGCUCUGAGGAGGGGGUAAGGAUGCAGGGGCCAUGCAUUCAUCCCAGCACAGGCAGCACGUGGCUCCGGAAGCAGACACAGGCCAGGCCUGGGCCAGGAGUCUGCCAGGAGCCAGGAGCGCCUACACCUCCCUGGAGGCCCACACUUCUCUCCCCAGAAGCUCACAGGCAGUGUCUGAGGUGCAGGGCCCAGGUGUGCUGGAGUGACAAAGCCCCGAGCUGUGGUGAUGGGAGGGAGGAAGCGCCGGUUUAUGUCUGUUCUUUGGGCUGAUUUGCUGUCUCUGUCUUUGUCUCUAAUGUCCUUUGCACCACUGACCUUGAGGAGCUUUUUGUUCCUCCUGUCCCAGUUUGGUUUCCAUGGGAACCUGAGUGGCAGUGUCAUCACUUUGCUGAGGUUUCAGAUCUCUUAGUUUUGGGUGCCCAAGUUCACGGAGGGUGCCGGGGAAUAGAAGCUCUGUCAGUCUCGUCUGGAUCUUGGUCCUCAGCAACUGUCUGGAUCCUGACAGGCCUUUCCUUCCUGGAGCCACAGUGCUUAGAGACAGGCCACUGGGGUCAGCAUUUGAGCUCAGCUACGAUCAGAAAAAAGCACCGUUGAGGUUGCAGUGAGCCGAG